This is a long non-coding RNA of Cuculus canorus (common cuckoo), 511 nucleotides long. RefSeq lists it as uncharacterized. The transcript is spliced from 3 exons. The record is from RefSeq and is a predicted model, not a curated record. Lineage: Eukaryota; Metazoa; Chordata; Aves; Cuculiformes; Cuculidae.
UCCGCUGUGGCGUCUCAGGAGUCGAGCGCCGCAGGUCCCGCUCUCGCUAGUGUUUUCCUCCGCUUUUCCCGGGAUAUCAUAACAGUGAGAUCCCUCACAGUGAGGUCUCUUGUCUUCCUUAAGAGCUGGUGCCUGAAAGUCGACAUAAUAAGGUAUCUUCCUUCCUGAACAUCUUCAUGAUUAGGGAAAUUGAAGAGGAAAGGACUGUUUUAUUCAUUUAAGAACCUUUUUUGAUGUUCUUAUAAGACACACUUUAUUACAGCUGCAGUCUUGCCAACAUCAGAUAGGAGAAACUACUUUUCCUUUACUAUUACUGUUAGUAUUUUUGCCUGACAAGCAACAAUCUUAGUCUAUCACAGAAUGAGAUUUACCUUUUCUGUUCAAAACUACUUUUCAGUCCUUUAUAACCUCCAUAUUUUUCUGUGUAACACUGAUGUUUAGCCAUUUUUUCCUCAUUUUGUAGCUAUGUAUUAGAUUUUUCUUAGCAAGUACUUUAUUUAAUAUAAUCAUA